GAUGAACGCUGGCGGCGUGCUUAACACAUGCAAGUCGAACGGAAAGGCUCCUGCUUGCAGGGGUACUCGAGUGGCGAACGGGUGAGUAACACGUGGGUGAUCUGCCCUGCACUUCGGGAUAAGCCUGGGAAACUGGGUCUAAUACCGGAUAGGACCACAUUUUGGAUGGUGUGGUGGAAAGUUUGUCGGUGUGGGAUGAGCUCGCGGCCUAUCAGCUUGUUGGUGGGGUAAUGGCCUACCAAGGCGUCGACGGGUAGCCGGCCUGAGAGGGUGUACGGCCACAAUGGGACUGAGAUACGGCGCAGACUGCUACGGGAGGCAGCAGUGGGGAAUAUUGCACAAUGGGCGCAAGCCUGAUGCAGCGACGCCGCGUGGGGGAUGACGGCCUUCGGGUUGUAAACUCCUUUCGCUAGGGACGAAGCGCAAGUGACGGUACCUGGAGAAGAAGCACCGGCUAACUACGUG
Molecule: ribosomal RNA, 465 nt
Filed under: uncultured bacterium
Lineage: Bacteria
Description: partial 16S ribosomal RNA
Rfam family: Bacterial small subunit ribosomal RNA
Source: RNAcentral